This 439-nucleotide ribosomal RNA is filed under the name uncultured bacterium. RNAcentral describes it as "partial 16S ribosomal RNA". It matches the Rfam family "Bacterial small subunit ribosomal RNA", at positions 339 to 795 of the family's 1533-position model. The record is from RNAcentral.
CUACGGGGGGCACCAGUGAGGAAUAUUGCACAAUGGGGGGAACCCUGAUGCAGCAACGCCGCGUGGAGGAUGACGCAUUUCGGUGUGUAAACUCCUUUUAUAUGUCAAGAAAAUGACGGUAGCAUACGAAUAAGCACCGGCUAACUCCGUGCCAGCAGCCGCGGUAAUACGGAGGGUGCAAGCGUUACUCGGAAUCACUGGGCGUAAAGGACGCGUAGGCGGGUUGGAAAGUCAGGUGUGAAAUCCUACAGCUUAACUGUAGAACUGCACUUGAAACUUCUAAUCUAGAGUAUGGGAGGUGGAGAUGGAAUUAGUGGUGUAGGGGUAAGAUCCGUAGAUAUCACUAGGAAUACCUAAAGCGAAGGCGAUCUCCUGGAACAUUACUGACGCUAAGGCGUGAAAGCGUGGGGAGCAAACAGGAUUAGAUACCCUCGUAGUC